AAUUCACGUUGAUGCAGCUUGUAACCCCUUUUUACUUUCAACUUUUUUCUUAGAUUGAUCAUUAUACACCUUACACCAUAUUUAUACUUAGGUUAACUUUUAACCUAUAGUUUGCAACAACACUAAACCCAAUACUUAAUGGGCUUGAUUAUCAUAAUGGCCCAAUGGCCCUUAAUCCUAAAGAUCUUAACAAAAGUCUUCUCCCUCAUUCUUGUCGCUUCUUCUUCUCCACUCUAAUAUUCCUCUGACUUUCUUCUUCUCCUCUAUUCAAGCUUCUGAUCAUUCUCUCUUUCAAGUUUGAGCAUUAAUCAAGGUUUGAUUCCAACACUCCCUCUCAAACCCUUGAUUAAUCCCCAAAUUCAAAAUUGAUUUUUGGAAUCUCAUCUCUCCUUGAUGCUUCUCGUUGCGUUCUUUUCCAGAUUGAUAUGUCCCUUUUACAACAUCUGCAUAGCUCACUGGCAACAUCUCCAUCUCCCUCAUUGGCUUAUUCUCAAUGAGUGACUUUCUUGGUGGGAUUUGACAUAACUCCGAGUUUUGAUCUCAUCUCCUCAAACCGUUUAGUUCCGAGGGGCUUCGUGAGGAUGUCAGCGAUUUGUUCUUCGCCACAGCAGUACCUCAGAUGUAUUGUCACAAUAGAUUGGGACACCUUUGUUAGUAUCGACCUUCACUUCUCCCAGCAAACGCUUCAACCACACUGCAUGAUUUGUGGCUGAGGCCAAAGCCAUAUAUUCCGCUUCUGCCGUGGACUGGGCAAUUGUGUCCUGUUUCUGGGUUUGCCAUGUGAACAUUCCACUUCCUAGUGUAAAACACAUACCUGUGGUGCUGCGCAUAUCUUCUUUACAGCCUGCCCAAUCAGAGUUUUGUUCCUUAGGUUGCGAUAGACUCCUGGAUAGGUAGGAUGCAGCAAAAGCUAAAUCAGGUCUAGUUGCAGCAAGGUUCCACUUAUUUUGAGAGGCUAAGGCUAUUAGAGUUCUGAUUGUGUCGUGUCUGGAUACCGGGGCAAACGUUUCACCAUAAUCUUCUCCAUAUGUCUGAGUUUCCUUACCAGCUCCCAAGUCUCAUUCUUGUUUAUGAUGUUGAUUUCAUCACCCAUUGCAAUCGUCCAUUCUUUGCUGCUUAUAGCAUCUUCAAAUGUGGACGGCUCCUCCCAGGUAAGAUAGCAUGCUUCCGCAACAUUAUUUGCAUCUUCUCCUCGUUCUUCUGUUUCAUGAUACACAUCAUCUAGUCUUCUAACUUUGUGAAUAACUCGAGAAGAGCUCCCUGGUUCAGUUUCUCCUCCACUUAACUGAAAAGAGGUGGGAUGACCUUACUUUGGGAGUUCUCAGUUCUCACUUUUACUUCUUCUUGAGUUUUCCAAUUCCAACUCUUGUUUUCUUCAAACACCACAUCUCUUGACACUUCUAUCCUCUUGGUACUUAGGAUAUACACUCUGUAACCCUUACUUAUAGUACUAUAUCCCAUAAAUAUAGCUUUUUCUGACCUAUCAUCAAGUUUUCUCCUUCUAGCUGCUGGGAUCCACACAUGACAAAUACAACCGAAUACCUUAAGGUGACCAACAGAGGGUUUGUGGCCACUCCAAACCUCAAGUGGUGUUUUUUGACUUAGAGCCCUGGUGGGGAGUCUAUUCUGAAGCAGGGUCCUGUUUCUACGUUCAGCAACUCCAUUCUGUUGUGUUUGAGUUUCCACCAGGCUCUUAAAUUUCUUGAAUGUUGCGAAGGUGUCUGAUUUAAACCUCAGAAAAUAUACCCACAACAUAUGUGAGAAAUCAUCUGUAAAGAUUGUGUAAAUUGUGAAGACCAGAGUGUCCGAAUCUUUUAUGCCAUAGUUCAGACAAAUUCUCUUCUUUAGCCAUCCUUACACUCUCUUCAGCUAACGGCAUAUGCAGCAAGUUCUCCACAAGCAAAACAGCCUCUCCUUGGUCUAAAUUGCUUACUAAAGAACUGGGAUUCAUAACUUUGGAGAAGGUCUGUGUUCACCGAAAUUGACCGAGCUCUGAUACCAUGUUCAAAAUUCACGUUGAUGCAGCUUGUAACCCCUUUUUACUUUCAACUUUUUUCUUAGAUUGAUCAUUAUACACCUUACACCAUAUUUAUACUUAGGUUAACUUUUAACCUAUAGUUUGCAACAACACUAAACCCAAUACUUAAUGGGCUUGAUUAUCAUAAUGGCCCAAUUGCCCUUAA
Molecule: long non-coding RNA, 2183 nt
Organism: Capsella rubella
Lineage: Eukaryota; Viridiplantae; Streptophyta; Magnoliopsida; Brassicales; Brassicaceae
Exons: 12
Source: RefSeq, a predicted model, not a curated record